This 73-nucleotide transfer RNA is filed under the name Candidatus Iainarchaeum sp. RNAcentral's name for it is "tRNA-Ala". It matches the Rfam family "tRNA". Rfam says of the family: Transfer RNA (tRNA) molecules are approximately 80 nucleotides in length. Their secondary structure includes four short double-helical elements and three loops (D, anti-codon, and T loops). Lineage: Archaea; Nanobdellati; Candidatus Iainarchaeota; Candidatus Iainarchaeia; Candidatus Iainarchaeales; Candidatus Iainarchaeaceae. The record is from RNAcentral.
GGGCUUUUAGCUCAGUUGGUAGAGCGCCCGCCUUGCACGCGGGAGGUCGGGGGUUCGACUCCCUCAGAGUCCA